CAGCAGCCGCGGUAAUACGUGGGGGGCAAGCGUUGUUCGGAAUUACUGGGCGUAAAGGGCUCGCAGGCGGUUUCUUAAGUCUGAUGUGAAAGCCCCCGGCUCAACCGGGGAGGGUCAUUGAAAACUGGGAAACUUGAGUGCAGAAGAGGAGAGUGGAAUUCCACGUGUAGCGGUGAAAUGCGUAGAGAUGUGGAGGAACACCAGUGGCGAAGGCGACUCUCUGGUCUGUAACUGACGCUGAGGAGCGAAAGCGCGGGGAGCGAACAGGAUUAGAUACCCGAGUAGUCCCUGUCUCUUAUAC
RNAcentral lists this ribosomal RNA (301 nucleotides) under uncultured bacterium. Its description in RNAcentral is "partial 16S ribosomal RNA". It matches the Rfam family "Bacterial small subunit ribosomal RNA", at positions 509 to 807 of the family's 1533-position model. The record is from RNAcentral.